Bos taurus (domestic cattle) is the source of this 1710-nucleotide long non-coding RNA. The record is from Ensembl. NCBI's taxonomy places the organism in Eukaryota, Metazoa, Chordata, Mammalia, Artiodactyla, Bovidae.
GAGGAGCCGCCCUGGAUGGACAGAGGGACGGAGGGACGAGCAUCCAGUCGGUUGUGUCCGGCUGCCCGCAGCAGUCUCCGACACCUGCUGCGGCCCGCCCGCUGCCCGUCUGCCUGGCAUCCCUCGAUCCCGUGAAUUAAACAGAGCGGUUCGGAGAGGGCCAAGGAUACGUCUGAGGUCACCAGUGGGAAGCAGCAGCUUGGGUCCUUGAACCUGAAUCCUGACUUGAGGUCCAGCACCCAGCACCAGGCACCCCGGGACCUGGAGCAAUAUCACAGCAGGGACUGUGUCUUCGGAAUCUGAGGCUCAGACAGGUGAGGUGACUUGCCUGAGGCUCCUUGGCCGGUGAGUGGUGGACAGAACUGCAUUGGAGACCAAAGCCCAGCAGUGGACAUCAGAACCCAGCUUGUGACCACUAAACUGGUGAUGGAGGGGGUCCAGGUUCGAUCCCUGGUCAAGGAAGCAGAUGCUAUAUGCUACAACUAAAGAUCCCGCGUGCUGCAAUGAAGAUCAAAGGUCUUGUGUGUGGCAACUAAGACUCAGUGCAGUCACAUAAUAAAUAUUUAAAAAGAAGAAAUAUACAGGGAGAAAGAGAAAUGGUUGCAAAAAUCUAAACAUUUGCUAAGAGGGUCUGUGGUAAAGACUAUGGACUUCCCUCAUAGCUCAGUUGGUAAAGAAUCUGCGGGGAGUGCAGGAGACCCGUGUUCGAUUCCUGGAUCAGGAAGAUCCCCUGGAGAAGGAAAUGGCAACCCACUCCAGUAUUCUUGCCUGGAGAAUGCCAUGGACAGAGGAGCCUGGCAGGCUACAGUCCAUGGGGUUACAUGAGUCGGACACGAUUUAGUGACUAAACCACCACCACCGUCUGUGGUAAAGAACCCACCUGCCAAUGCAGGAGAUGCAAGAGACAUGGGUUCAAUCCCUGGGUUGGGAAGAUCCCCUGGAGGAGGGCAUGGCAACCCACCCCAAUAUUCUUGCCUGGAGAAUCCCAUGGAUGGAGGAGCCUAGCUGGUCACAGUAUAUAGAGUCGAAGAAAGUCAGACACGACUGACCACGCACACACCAAGAGAGGACCCCGAGCCACCAGGCAACCACAGGCCACCUGUGGGCACUGCCAGGUGGCUGACCCCAGGACCCGCUGAAUGCCUGUCACUGCUGAAUGCCUUGGGACAUUCAGUGCAGGAGACCCAUGUUCAAUUCCUGGGUUGGGAAGAGGGGGAGGCUGCAUUUGUAGGACAUUUUGUUAAAGCAAACUGGGUAUAAAUAAGGAUUUAUGCCCACGGAUGUCUGUCGCAACUGGCCACCACCUCAGUGUUCAGCAGUAUUGGGGCUUGUUGAAAUGAAUUAUAGCACUUCCUAUGACAGAAUAUGAUGCAGCCAGUAAAUAUGACACUUAGCAAAAAAUUGUAAUUACAUAGGAAACGCUUUUGGUGUAACAUAAAAUCAGGAUAUAAAACGAUAUGUGCAUGUAUGUUAUGUCAAUAAAAAGGAAAAAGAAAAAACUAAAUGCUGUGAGCUCAACUUCAUUUAAAGACAUAUAAGGAAAAAGUGGAAAGAAAACGCCCCCAAAUUCUAACCUUAUUUAUAUCUGGCUGGUGAUUUUUAAAUUUUUAGUACUUGUUCUUUAUUGUAUUUCCAAAUUUCUACACUAAAUACUUUCAAGUUUUAAAGUUAUUUGAAAUAAAAGUGAAAACUGUAUCCUGUAUUUAAGAG